This 796-nucleotide ribosomal RNA is filed under the name uncultured Methanosarcinaceae archaeon. RNAcentral describes it as "bacterial SSU rRNA". It matches the Rfam family "Archaeal small subunit ribosomal RNA", at positions 85 to 879 of the family's 1478-position model. The record is from RNAcentral. Lineage: Archaea; Methanobacteriati; Methanobacteriota; Methanomicrobia; Methanosarcinales; Methanosarcinaceae.
ACGGCUCAGUAACACGUGGAUAACCUGCCCUUGGGACCGGCAUAACCCCGGGAAACUGGGGAUAAUUCCGGAUAACGCACAUAUGCUGGAAUGCUUUAUGCGUGAAAUGGAUUCGUCUGCCCAAGGAUGGGUCUGCGGCCUAUCAGGUAGUAGUGGGUGUAAUGGACCUACUAGCCUACAACGGGUACGGGUUGUGAGAGCAAGAGCCCGGAGAUGGAUUCUGAGACAUGAAUCCAGGCCCUACGGGGCGCAGCAGGCGCGAAAACUUUACAAUGCGGGAAACCGUGAUAAGGGGACACCGAGUGCCAGCAUCAUAUGCUGGCUGUCCAGGUGUGUAAAAUACACCUGUUAGCAAGGGCCGGGCAAGACCGGUGCCAGCCGCCGCGGUAACACCGGCGGCCCGAGUGGUGAUCGUGAUUAUUGGGUCUAAAGGGUCCGUAGCCGGUUUGGUCAGUCCUCCGGGAAAUCUGAUAGCUUAACUAUUAGGCUUUCGGGGGAUACUGCCAGGCUUGGAACCGGGAGAGGUAAGAGGUACUACAGGGGUAGGAGUGAAAUCUUGUAAUCCCUGUGGGACCACCUGUGGCGAAGGCGUCUUACCAGAACGGGUUCGACGGUGAGGGACGAAAGCUGGGGGCACGAACCGGAUUAGAUACCCGGGUAGUCCCAGCCGUAAACGAUGCUCGCUAGGUGUCAGGCAUGGCGCGACCGUGUCUGGUGCCGCAGGGAAGCCGUGAAGCGAGCCACCUGGGAAGUACGGCCGCAAGGCUGAAACUUAAAGGAAUUGGCGGGGGAGCAC